This 238-nucleotide ribosomal RNA is filed under the name uncultured Sulfurospirillum sp. Its description in RNAcentral is "partial 16S ribosomal RNA". It matches the Rfam family "Bacterial small subunit ribosomal RNA", at positions 213 to 450 of the family's 1533-position model. Lineage: Bacteria; Pseudomonadati; Campylobacterota; Epsilonproteobacteria; Campylobacterales; Sulfurospirillaceae. The record is from RNAcentral.
CGGUGCCAAGGGAUGGGGCUGUAUCCUAUCAGCUUGUUGGUGAGGUAAUGGCUCACCAAGGCAAUGACGGGUAGCUGGUCUGAGAGGAUGAUCAGCCACACUGGAACUGAGACACGGUCCAGACUCCUACGGGAGGCAGCAGUGGGGAAUAUUGCACAAUGGGGGAAACCCUGAUGCAGCAACGCCGCGUGGAGGAUGACGCAUUUCGGUGUGUAAACUCCUUUUAUUAGGGAAGAAU